Molecule: ribosomal RNA, 487 nt
Filed under: uncultured bacterium
Lineage: Bacteria
Description: bacterial SSU rRNA
Rfam family: Bacterial small subunit ribosomal RNA
Source: RNAcentral
CGACGAAGUACGGGACGGGACGACGCACAGACGACGUACGACAAUACGAGUGGUGGCGACCGGCGCACGGGUGAGUAACACGUAUGCAACCUACCUUCCACAGGAGGAUAACCCGUUGAAAGACGGGCUAAUACUCCAUAACACAGGGGUCCCGCAUGGGAAUAUUUGUUAAAGAUUUUUUCGGUAGAAGAUGGGCAUGCGUUCCAUUAGCUAGUUGGUUGAGGUAACGGCUCACCAAGGCAACGAUGGAUAGGGGAACUGAGAGGUUUAUCCCCCACACUGGUACUGAGACACGGACCAGACUCCUACGGGAGGCAGCAGUGAGGAAUAUUGGUCAAUGGAGGCAACUCUGAACCAGCCACGUCGCGUGAAGGAUGACGGCCCUACGGGUUGUAAACUUCUUUUAUACAGGAAUAAAGUGAGUCACGUGUGAUUUUUUGCAUGUACUGUAUGAAUAAGGAUCGGCUAACUCCGUGCCAGCCGCAGC